AGUGAACGCUGGCGGUAGGCCUAACACAUGCAAGUCGAACGGCAGCACAGUAAGAGCGUGCUCUUACGGGUGGCGAGUAGCGUACGGGUGAGGAAUACGUCGGAAUCUACGGUUUCGGGGGGGAGAACGUAGGGAAACUUACGCUAAUACCGCAUACCACCUACGGGUGAAAGAAGGGCAUCUUCGCACCUUGCCCGAAUGAAUGAGCCGAUGUCGGAGUAGCUAGUUGGCGGGGUAAAGGCCCACCACGGCGACGAUCCGUCGCUGGUCUGUGAGGCUGAUCCGCCAAACUGGAACUGAGACCCGGUCCAGACUCCUACGGGAGGCAGCAGUGGGGACUCUUGGACAAUGGGCGCACGCCUGAUCCAGCCCUACCGCGUCGGUGCAGAAGGCCUUCGGGCUGUACAGCCCUUUUGUUCGGAAAGAAAAGCAGCCGGUUACUCCCCCGCUGUUCUGACGGUACCCAAAGAAUCAGCCCCGGCUAACUUCGUG
This 492-nucleotide ribosomal RNA is filed under the name uncultured bacterium. RNAcentral's name for it is "partial 16S ribosomal RNA". It matches the Rfam family "Bacterial small subunit ribosomal RNA", at positions 29 to 507 of the family's 1533-position model. The record is from RNAcentral.